Molecule: ribosomal RNA, 32 nt
Filed under: Enterocytozoon bieneusi
Lineage: Eukaryota; Fungi; Microsporidia; Enterocytozoonidae
Description: partial large subunit ribosomal RNA
Source: RNAcentral
CAGUAGGGUGCCAUCAAGAGGUGUAUUUGGAA